GUGGGGAAUUUUGGACAAUGGGCGCAAGCCUGAUCCAGCAAUGCCGCGUGCAGGAAGAAGGCCUUCGGGUUGUAAACUGCUUUUGUACGGAACGAAACGGUCCGGGUUAAUACCCUGGGCUAAUGACGGUACCGUAAGAAUAAGCACCGGCUAACUACGUGCCAGCAGCUGCGGUAAUACGUAGGGUGCAAGCGUUAAUCGGAAUUACUGGGCGUAAAGCGUGCGCAGGCGGUUUUGUAAGACAGGCGUGAAAUCCCCGGGCUCAACCUGGGAAUUGCGCUUGUGACUGCAAGGCUGGAGUGCGGCAGAGGGGGAUGGAAUUCCGCGUGUAGCAGUGAAAUGCGUAGAUAUGCGGAGGAACACCGAUGGCGAAGGCAAUCCCCUGGGCCUGCACUGACGCUCAUGCACGAAAGCGUGGGGAGCAAACAGGAUUAGAUACCCGGGUAGUCC
RNAcentral lists this ribosomal RNA (450 nucleotides) under uncultured bacterium. Its description in RNAcentral is "partial 16S ribosomal RNA". It matches the Rfam family "Bacterial small subunit ribosomal RNA", at positions 354 to 796 of the family's 1533-position model. The record is from RNAcentral.